AGAGUUUGAUCAUGGCUCAGAUUGAACGCUGGCGGGAUGCUUUACACAUGCAAGUCGAACGGCAACGCGGACUUCGGUCUGGCGGCGAGUGGCGAACGGGUGAGUAAUAUAUCGGAACGUGCCCAAUAGAGGGGGAUAACUACGCGAAAGCGUGGCUAAUACCGCAUAAGCCCUAAGGGGGAAAGCGGGGGAUCUUCGGACCUCGCACUAAUGGAGCGGCUGAUAUCGGAUUAGCUAGUUGGUGGGGUAAAGGCCUACCAAGGCGACGAUCCGUAGCUGGUUUGAGAGGACGACCAGCCACACUGGGACUGAGACACGGCCCAGACUCCUACGGGAGGCAGCAGUGGGGAAUUUUGGACAAUGGGGGCAACCCUGAUCCAGCCAUCCCGCGUGUGUGAUGAAGGCCUUCGGGUUGUAAAGCACUUUAGGCAGGGAAGAAACGUCUUGGGCGAAUAGUCUAGGAAACUGACGGUACCUGCAGAAUAAGCACCGGCUAACUACGUGCCAGCAGCCGCGGUAAUACGUAGGGUGCAAGCGUUAAUCGGAAUUACUGGGCGUAAAGGGUGCGUAGGCGGUUCAGAAAGCAAGAUGUGAAAUCCCUGGGCUUAACCUAGGAACUGCAUUUUGAACUUCUGAGCUAGAGUGUGUCAGAGGGGGGUGGAAUUCCACGUGUAGCAGUGAAAUGCGUAGAGAUGUGGAGGAACACCGAUGGCGAAGGCAGCCCCCUGGGAUAACACUGACGCUGAGGCACGAAAGCGUGGGUAGCAAACAGGAUUAGAUACCCUGGUAGUCCACGCCCUAAACGAUGUCAACUAGCUGUUGGGUUUUUCGGAACUUGGUAGCGCAGCUAACGCGAGAAGUUGACCGCCUGGGGAGUACGGUCGCAAGAUUAAAACUCAAAGGAAUUGACGGGGACCCGCACAAGCGGUGGAUGAUGUGGAUUAAUUCGAUGCUACGCGAAGAACCUUACCUACCCUUGACAUGUCUGGAAUCCUGAAGAGAUUUAGGAGUGCUCGCAAGAGAACCGGAACACAGGUGCUGCAUGGCUGUCGUCAGCUCGUGUCGUGAGAUGUUGGGUUAAGUCCCGCAACGAGCGCAACCCUUAUCAUUAGUUGCUACGCAAGGGCACUCUAAUGAGACUGCCGGUGACAAACCGGAGGAAGGUGGGGAUGACGUCAAGUCCUCAUGGCCCUUAUGGGUAGGGCUUCACACGUCAUACAAUGGUCGGGACAGAGGGUCGCCAACCCGCGAGGGGGAGCCAAUCCAUGAAACCCGAUCGUAGUCCGGAUCGCAGUCUGCAACUCGACUGCGUGAAGUCGGAAUCGCUAGUAAUCGCGGAUCAGAAUGUCGCGGUGAAUACGUUCCCGGGUCUUGUACACACCGCCCGUCACAUCAUGGGAGUGGGUUUUACCAGAAGUAGUUAGCCUAACCGACCUCGUAAGGGGAAGGAGGGCGAUUACCACGGUAGGAUUCAUGACUGGGAUGAAGUCGUAACAAGGUA
RNAcentral lists this ribosomal RNA (1501 nucleotides) under metagenome. Its description in RNAcentral is "bacterial SSU rRNA". It matches the Rfam family "Bacterial small subunit ribosomal RNA". The record is from RNAcentral.